GAUGAACGCUGGCGGCGUGCCUAAUACAUGCAAGUCGAGCGAACGGACGAGAAGCUUGCUUCUCUGAUGUUAGCGGCGGACGGGUGAGUAACACGUGGAUAACCUACCUAUAAGACUGGGAUAACUUCGGGAAACCGGAGCUAAUACCGGAUGAUAUUUUGAACCGCAUGGUUCAAAAGUGAAAGACGGUCUUGCUGUCACUUAUAGAUGGAUCCGCGCUGCAUUAGCUAGUUGGUAGGGUAACGGCUUACCAAGGCAACGAUGCAUAGCCGACCUGAGAGGGUGAUCGGCCACACUGGAACUGAGACACGGUCCAGACUCCUACGGGAGGCAGCAGUAGGGAAUCUUCCGCAAAGGGCGAAAGCCUGACGGAGCAACGCCGCGUGAGUGAUGAAGGUCUUCGGAUCGUAAAACUCUGUUAUUAGGGAAGAACAUAUGUGUAAGUAACUGUGCACAUCUUGACGGUACCUAAUCAGAAAGCCACGGCUAACUACGUG
Molecule: ribosomal RNA, 497 nt
Filed under: uncultured bacterium
Lineage: Bacteria
Description: partial 16S ribosomal RNA
Rfam family: Bacterial small subunit ribosomal RNA
Source: RNAcentral